Molecule: non-coding RNA, 144 nt
Filed under: Homo sapiens (human)
Lineage: Eukaryota; Metazoa; Chordata; Mammalia; Primates; Hominidae
Source: Rfam by way of RNAcentral
GCCGGGCGUGGUGGCCCAUGUCUGUAAUCCCAGCUACUUGGGAGGCUGAGGCAGGAGAAUUGCUUGAACCUGGGAGGCAGAGGUUGCAGUGAGCUGAGCACCACUGCACUCCAGCCUGGGCAACAGAGCAAGACUCUGUCUCAA